UUACUGUCAGCUAAUUCUCAACUUACACAUGCAAGUAUCCGCACACCCGUGAGAACGCCCUUUAACCUCUCUAGGUAAAGGAGCCGGUAUCAGGCACAGACCUUCUAGCCCACAACACCUAGCUUUGCCACACCCUCAAGGGAAUUCAGCAGUGAUUAACAUUGUUCAUAAGCGACAGCUUGACUCAGUUAGAGAACUAAGAGCCGGCUAAUACGGUGCCAGCCGCCGCGGCUACACCGCUAGGCUCAAGUUGACGCUAUCCGGCGUUAAGCGUGUUUUAAGUGCUCAAAUAGAUUAGAAUUAAACCCCAACCAAGCUGUGACACGCUUGUUACUAAGAAAAACAAAAACGAAAGUUAUUCUAACCAGUCCACUUGACCCCACGACAGCUAGGACACAAACUGGGAUUAGGUACCCCACUAUGCCUAGCUAUAAAAUAUUUAUUCACACCUUAAACCGCCAGGGGAUUACGAGCUCAAGCUUAAAACCCAAAGGACUUGACGGUGCCCCACCCACCUAGAGGAGCCUGUUCUAUAAUCGAUUCUCCCCGAUAUACCUCACCGCUUCUAGCCUUUCAGCCUGUAUACCUCCGUCGUAAGCUUACCAUAUGAACGCCUCUUAGUGAGCUAAAUGAUUUCUCAUAUACACGUCAGGUCAAGGUGCAGCCCACGAAGCGGCAAGCAAUGGGCUACAAUUUCUAUUGAUAGAACACACGAAAGACUACAUGCAACUUAGUCAUGAAGGCGGAUUUAGUAGUAAAAAGAAAAUAGAGAGUUCUUUUUAACCAGGCGCUGGGGCGCGUACACACCGCCCGUCACCCUCUUCAAACGCCACAGUCUAGUAUUUAACAACCUAACGCAUAUUAGAAGAGGUAAGUCGUAACACGGUAAGCGUACUGGAAAGUGCGCUUGGAUUAACAAA
Molecule: non-coding RNA, 920 nt
Filed under: Microhyla aurantiventris (orange-bellied narrow-mouth frog)
Lineage: Eukaryota; Metazoa; Chordata; Amphibia; Anura; Microhylidae
Description: partial small subunit ribosomal RNA
Rfam family: Bacterial small subunit ribosomal RNA
Source: RNAcentral